Molecule: long non-coding RNA, 1017 nt
Filed under: Daphnia pulicaria
Lineage: Eukaryota; Metazoa; Arthropoda; Branchiopoda; Diplostraca; Daphniidae
Description: uncharacterized LOC124327377
Source: RNAcentral
UACUACACCGAGGCCUCGCAGUACUACAACACCGAAGCGCUCAAGUACUACACUACAACCUACGCUGCCCCCAGCUACUACACCUACGUCCCGAAGUGUUACUGUGCGUAAAAAGAGACGUCUAAAAAAAGAAGUCUUGCCCGAACUGCAGAGCCUUAUCUGUCACCAACUGCUUUCCUCAUCGUGUAAACGAUUCGCAAUUAUGGUCAACUAUGGCGUCGUGCUCCUGUUGGGUGUUGUAUCGUUGAUGGCUGGGUCGACUGCUGGUGUAGCGAUGUCUACUUGGUGUGGCGCAAACCAAACUGCAACGCCGCCGCCUUCCUACAUAACUUACGCAACGACCAGUUUCUGCACCGAGGUCUUCAAGUACUACACCACUAAAGCACCAGAGUUUUAUACCACAACUAACGCUGCCCGAGCCACUACCCUGACGCCCUGAAGUACUCUGCCCCGAGUUACUAUACCACCAAGGCGACCGAUUACUACAUGACAACGCAUGCUGCCCCAUCCUACUACACCGAGGCUCCUAACUGCUACACCGAGGCUCCCGCUGAUUACUCCACCAAAGUGGUCGAGUACUACACCGAAGCGGCAAAGUACUUCUCUGCCCCGAUCAACUCAACCAGAACUGAGGCGGCGAAGUAUUACGCAGUCCCGACUUGCCACAAAAAAGCUGCUCUUUCGUGCUACGUUGAACUGAAACACUACACUGAUGCUUCAGUCUACUACACCACGACCUAUGCUACACCUAGCUACAACACCGCAGCCCCCAAGUAUUAAACCGAAGAAGCCGCCUAUUACACAACCACGUACGCUGCCUGGUAUACUACAGCGAGGAAUUUAAGUAUUACCCUGCUCCAAAAUACUACCAAACUGAGGUUCAUAUGUAUUUCACCAGCAAUUUCACCUGACCAUGUCACCACUACUUAUGUUGCUCCGACCUAUACACCAAAGUUCUGAAGUAUUUCUCUGGAUGUGUUGAAAGAUUGCUGAAAUACAAGUUUGAUUGAUAAAUCA